RNAcentral lists this ribosomal RNA (415 nucleotides) under uncultured bacterium. Its description in RNAcentral is "bacterial SSU rRNA". It matches the Rfam family "Archaeal small subunit ribosomal RNA", at positions 335 to 747 of the family's 1478-position model. The record is from RNAcentral.
CCAGUCGAGAAACCUUCGCAAUGCGCGCAAGCGCGACGAGGGGAACUCGAGUGCCAUUGUCAUUUUUGAUGGUGGCUUUUCUUGAUCCUAAAAAGAUCAGGGAAUAAAAGCUGGGUAAGACGGGUGCCAGCCGCCGCGGUAAUACCCGCAGCUCAAGUGGUGGCCACUAUUAUUGAGCCUAAAGCGUCCGUAGCCGGUCUUGUAAAUCUCUGGGUAAAUCCUGCCGCUUAACGGUGGGAAUACUGGAGAGACUGCAAGACUGGGGAUCGGGUGAAGUGAGAGGUACUCCUGGGGUAGGGGUAAAAUCCUGUAAUCCUGGGGGGACGACCGGUGGCGAAGGCGUCUCACUAGAACGACUCCGACGGUGAGGGACGAAGGCUAGGGGAGCAAACCGGAUUAGAUACCCCCGUAGUCC